This 1372-nucleotide ribosomal RNA is filed under the name uncultured bacterium. RNAcentral's name for it is "bacterial SSU rRNA". It matches the Rfam family "Bacterial small subunit ribosomal RNA", at positions 28 to 1381 of the family's 1533-position model. The record is from RNAcentral.
GAUGAACGCUGGCGGCGUGCCUAAUACAUGCAAGUCGAGCGAACGGACGAGAACCUUGCUUCUCUGAUGUUAGCGGCGGACGGGUGAGUAACACGUGGAUAACCUACCUAUAAGACUGGGAUAACUUCGGGAAACCGGAGCUAAUACCGGAUAAUAUUUUGAACCGCAUGGUUCAAAAGUGAAAGACGGUCUUGCUGUCACUUAUAGAUGGAUCCGCGCUGCAUUAGCUAGUUGGUAAGGUAACGGCUUACCAAGGCAACGAUGCAUAGCCGACCUGAGAGGGUGAUCGGCCACACUGGAACUGAGACACGGUCCAGACUCCUACGGGAGGCAGCAGUAGGGAAUCUUCCGCAAUGGGCGAAAGCCUGACGGAGCAACGCCGCGUGAGUGAUGAAGGUCUUCGGAUCGUAAAACUCUGUUAUUAGGGAAGAACAUAUGUGUAAGUAACUGUGCACAUCUUGACGGUACCUAAUCAGAAAGCCACGGCUAACUACGUGCCAGCAGCCGCGGUAAUACGUAGGUGGCAAGCGUUAUCCGGAAUUAUUGGGCGUAAAGCGCGCGUAGGCGGUUUUUUAAGUCUGAUGUGAAAGCCCACGGCUCAACCGUGGAGGGUCAUUGGAAACUGGAAAACUUGAGUGCAGAAGAGGAAAGUGGAAUUCCAUGUGUAGCGGUGAAAUGCGCAGAGAUAUGGAGGAACACCAGUGGCGAAGGCGACUUUCUGGUCUGUAACUGACGCUGAUGUGCGAAAGCGUGGGGAUCAAACAGGAUUAGAUACCCUGGUAGUCCACGCCGUAAACGAUGAGUGCUAAGUGUUAGGGGGUUUCCGCCCCUUAGUGCUGCAGCUAACGCAUUAAGCACUCCGCCUGGGGAGUACGACCGCAAGGUUGAAACUCAAAGGAAUUGACGGGGACCCGCACAAGCGGUGGAGCAUGUGGUUUAAUUCGAAGCAACGCGAAGAACCUUACCAAAUCUUGACAUCCUUUGACAACUCUAGAGAUAGAGCCUUCCCCUUCGGGGGACAAAGUGACAGGUGGUGCAUGGUUGUCGUCAGCUCGUGUCGUGAGAUGUUGGGUUAAGUCCCGCAGCGAGCGCAACCCUUAAGCUUAGUUGCCAUCAUUAAGUUGGGCACUCUAAGUUGACUGCCGGUGACAAACCGGAGGAAGGUGGGGAUGACGUCAAAUCAUCAUGCCCCUUAUGAUUUGGGCUACACACGUGCUACAAUGGACAAUACAAAGGGCAGCGAAACCGCGAGGUCAAGCAAAUCCCAUAAAGUUGUUCUCAGUUCGGAUUGUAGUCUGCAACUCGACUACAUGAAGCUGGAAUCGCUAGUAAUCGUAGAUCAGCAUGCUACGGUGAAUACGUUCCCGGGUCU